RNAcentral lists this ribosomal RNA (402 nucleotides) under uncultured bacterium. Its description in RNAcentral is "bacterial SSU rRNA". It matches the Rfam family "Archaeal small subunit ribosomal RNA", at positions 339 to 744 of the family's 1478-position model. The record is from RNAcentral.
GCGCGAAACCUCCGCAAUGCGAGCAAUCGCGACGGGGGACCCCAAGUGCCACUCUUAACGGGGUGGCUUUCUUAAGUGUAAAAAGCUUUUGGAAUAAGGGCUGGGCAAGACCGGUGCCAGCCGCCGCGGUAACACCGGCAGCCCAAGUGGUGGCCAUUUUAUUGGGCCUAAAGCGUUCGUAGCCGGCCUGAUAAGUCUCUGGUGAAAUCCCGCAGCUUAACUGUGGGAAUUGCUGGAGAUACUAUCAGGCUUGAGGUCGGGAGAGGUUAGAGGUACUCCCAGGGUAGGGGUGAAAUCCUAUAAUCCUGGGAGGACCACCUGUGGCGAAGGCGUCUAACUGGAACGAACCUGACGGUGAGUAACGAAAGCCAGGGGCGCGAACCGGAUUAGAAACCCGAGUAG